RNAcentral lists this long non-coding RNA (483 nucleotides) under Physcomitrium patens. RNAcentral describes it as "long non-coding RNA (PPAT_LNC013083)". The record is from RNAcentral. Lineage: Eukaryota; Viridiplantae; Streptophyta; Bryopsida; Funariales; Funariaceae.
AAAUCCAAUAACUCCUUUAUUUAAACUUGGAAUCUAGCAAGCAAUUGAAACUUACAAAAAGUGUAGCCGCAAAAGUGCUCUCUUUAGUUGUGAUCGCCGAUCCUCAAAUGCUAUCCGUACGCGUGUGUUAUGACAAAAAGAGUGACAAUAGCUCCCAAAUCAAUACCUUAACUUUGAGUGCCUAUAUCUCCUUCAUUUAAACUCCAAACCAUAUGAAAUUUGCACCAAAACCAUAGCCAAAAAUCCAAACUUUCUGACCUUAGCCUUCAAAGCUCAAAUGGCUCUGAAAAACUAACCCUAAUCUCUAAUAUGGCCUUAGGUAGCCUCCUCAAAGCCCAUUGGUCAUGUUUUUUGACCAAUAAGAAUAGAGAUUUUUAUCAUCCAUCUCCAUUCAUCUAUAUUGGUACCUUAAUUAAUCUUUUUUCUACCAAAAUCCUUCUUCAAUCCUUUUUCUUAUAAUAUUUACAUAAUUUAUGCUCUAAA